This is a long non-coding RNA of Vollenhovia emeryi, 1841 nucleotides long. RefSeq lists it as uncharacterized. Lineage: Eukaryota; Metazoa; Arthropoda; Insecta; Hymenoptera; Formicidae. The transcript is spliced from 4 exons. The record is from RefSeq and is a predicted model, not a curated record.
UAUAAAGCGUGUGGUAUUUUUCAUUAAAUUAUGCGGCAAAUGCAUGAACGCUCAGUGUCGCGCCUCGGAAUUUUCGGCGCGCCAAGUUGGCAGCGCGCAAGACGAGCGCCAUCUAGAUUCUGUUUCACUUGCAGGAAGCGGCGGAGCGGGGGCGGCUGGACUACGGAACGAGUGGCGUCGCGAAUCCGGCGAAUCCGAGGUAAACGAGACUUGUAUUUAACCUUGCGUUUAUCAUUAUUGUGGCAACAUCUAUCGCGUGAUAGACUUAGCGUUCGUACAUUGAUAAUCCGCCCCGGCGCGUAUUUCGCGAGACUCGUUCGGCCGCGGAUCUGUCGCGCGAGCAAUCGACAGGACGGCGAUUAUAUUCUUGAGUAUCUAUCCGCAAUUUCGUCUUGCGAAUUUCACUCGCAUUGUAACGUAAAGUCAAACAGAAAGACGAGCGUAUGCUAGUUUUCAUUUAAUGCGGAAAAUGCGUGAACGCGAAGUUAAGAGCAGAAUGCGCAGGUUGCAAACUCAUAGAGCGGAACGGUGUAGGCAGAAAAUCGCAGAACGACAGCUUCGACCAAUCACAUCGGGACACUCGUGAUUGGUCGAGGCUUCCGUUCCGCGAUUUUCUGCCUACACCGUUCCGCUCUAUGAGUUUGCACCCUCAGUGCCGCGCCGCGGCGUUUUUGGCGCGUAAAGUCGGCGUCAUCUCGAUUCUGUUUCACUUGCAGGACGCGGCGGAGCGCGGGCAGACGUACUUCGGUCUUCAGAACGAGUGGCGUCGCGAAUUCGAGGUAAGCAAGACCUAUAUAACUGCGUUCGUAGCUACGUCUAUGUCGCGUGAUAGACUGGCAUUCGUACGUUUGAUAAUCCGUCCCGGCGCGUAUUUCGCGAGGCUCGUUCGGCCGCGGAUCUGUCGCGCGAGCAAUCGACAGGACGGCGAUUAUAUUCUUGAGUAUCUAUCCGCAAUUUCGUCUUGCGAAUUCGCAUUGUAACGUAAAGUGAAACUGAAAGACGAGCGUAUGCUAGUUUUCAUUUAAUGCGGAAAAUGCGUGAGCGCGAAGGUAGGAGCACAACGCUCAGUGCCGCGCCGCGGCGUUUUUGGCGCGUAAAGUCGGCGCCAUCUUGAUUCUGGUGCACUUGCAGGACGCGGCGGAGCGGGGACAGACGUACUUCGGUCUUGAGAACGAGUGGCGUCGCGAAUCCGAGCGAAUGCAGACGUGAUUGUGCGAGUGCCACGAAGAAACGGCAAUGGAAAAAGAAAAGAGGAGAUGAACGAGAUGGCCAAGUACGACGUGUGACGGCGGAUCGCGAGAUUAGUGUUGUAACAUCGUUGCCUGCGUACUCGUGAUGAGAGUUAGGAGUUCUGACAACCUGUGAGGAGCUGAAGGAGAAGGUCUGACAGCUUGGAAGGAGAAGGAAGCCUAGGCCUAGAAGAGGCAUCGGGCGACGGCAGAACAACUUUGUGAAUCAUCGUAGCUUCCUGGCUGAUAAUUUAGCUGCUGCGCAUCGAUCGGUAAGUGACAAAAAGCUUAAUUAAUUCUGAAUUGUUUUAUAAUAAAAUUUGUGCACCAUUUGGUAUAAAAAGGUUUAUUAUGUCUUUUUAAAUGAUUGUGUAAUGUUAUAACUAAUAUUCGAAUACAGUUAUUAAUUUGCACAUUUAACUCACUUGAAUUACAGGUACAUGCAUUUUAUUAUUAAAUGUACUUGUUUCUGGCUACUGUUUGUUAUGAUUUAUUCUACUCUAUUAUUGUUAAAACUCUUUCUACAAUUUUUUCGUCCAUCGCGUAAUGCUCGUAAUUUCACAACUCGUGUUUGUAUCUAUCCCAACGUUAUUGGCUGUUACAAUCGGGCAU